Long non-coding RNA from Lycium barbarum (goji berry), 558 nucleotides. RefSeq lists it as uncharacterized. The transcript has 3 exons. The record is from RefSeq and is a predicted model, not a curated record. NCBI's taxonomy places the organism in Eukaryota, Viridiplantae, Streptophyta, Magnoliopsida, Solanales, Solanaceae.
CAAAAAGUUGAGAGGAAAAGAAAAACAAGGCCAAGGGUUCGGCCAAGUGAGAGAAAAAGAAAGGAAAAAGAAAAAAAAAUUCUUGGAGCUCAAUCCUUUGGUUCAAAAAUCCAUCUCUUUUGGAAUUACUACUAAGUGCAAGAUUCUCUUCAAGAUGAUAUAAUUAUUUUGGAAAAAAGGUGACUUUGGUGGCAAGUGAAGAACUUGAAGAAAAGAUUCUGGUGGAAACGGGACUUGAGUUUGGACGAACGUAAAGCGCAAAUAAGGUACAGGGCCGCGACCCGGCGAUCCGGCUACUUAGGGGAAGUCAGCGCUAGGAGUCAGACAGCUCCACUUUCUCCGGAGGCUGUUCCUGUGUUGGUAUAAUUUUGUGUACAUAUUUUGUAGGUCGUACUCUUUAGAAGUCUGCGAACAGUGUGGGUGUUAUGGGUAUUGUUUGGUUUUGUUGGUCACUACGUUGUUGUACAAAAGUGGUGGCAGCCAGUUCAGCUGGCUUUGUCUUAUGUCAUGUGUAUAUAUAUGCUUAUGUGUGCGUGUGUGUAUGUAUGUAACACGCUU